CAGCUGGUCUUCAGUCCAGCUUGUUUCACACGUGACAGGAAUCUGACCCUCAGAAAAUAAUCACAUGCGCGGAGCUCACUAGUGGCAGAGCCCACGACACCCGCUCCUCUCCAGCUCUCUCUUUAGGGACAGAGAUCUCUAGAAAUACAAUUAAACAAGCAGCCCCUGUCUCUUUUUCUCCACUUUCAGUCUUGGGGAAGGGAUUGGAAUAUGUGAGCAGGAGAGAAGGGUCAUGUUGGAGCAGCCAGGUCAUCGUGAAAAUUGAAAGUGAUAAUCACCAUGAAAG
RNAcentral lists this long non-coding RNA (286 nucleotides) under Homo sapiens (human). Its description in RNAcentral is "HSALNT0247116". The record is from RNAcentral. Lineage: Eukaryota; Metazoa; Chordata; Mammalia; Primates; Hominidae.